Molecule: long non-coding RNA, 41384 nt
Filed under: Citrus sinensis (sweet orange)
Lineage: Eukaryota; Viridiplantae; Streptophyta; Magnoliopsida; Sapindales; Rutaceae
Description: long non-coding RNA (CSIN_LNC004358)
Source: RNAcentral
CAACCCAGGAGCUGUCUCCAUGACUCAUCUGCUAAACUCUGUAGCAGCCACGAGUAUUUAUGAUGCGAGAACUAGUCAAGGUAUGCUUGCAGAACCUGCUGUACCUUCGGCUGCUGCUAGAGUUCCUUGUGGGCCAAGGUCGCCUCUCUAUUAUAGAAAUAAUUAUUCUUACAUGAUGAAACAUGGAUUUCCAAAAUACCACUCUUCCAUUAUGGAAAGAAACCUGUUGGGGCCUUCAAGAAUCAUGAACCCGCAUGCACCUGAGUUUGUGCCAAUGAGAGGUUGGCAAAUAAAUCCUGGAUAUGCAGAUUCAAAUGUUUCAAAUGAGUCGAACUCUUCAAAUGACACAAGUGAGGCAGACGAUGAGAAACUUGACAAAAUGUCCAGUAUUCAAGGCGAGGAUAAUACCUCAAGAAAGAGCAGUACAGAGGCGGAGAAGUCAGAGCUGGCAAGACAGAUACUACUUAGCUUCAUUGUAAAGUCAGUCCAGCAUAAUAUGGAUGCUCCAAGUCAUUCUUCAGGCUACGAAAAGAAGAUUGGGUAUUCUGAAAAUUCUUCAGAUGCAAUUGCAAAUGAUAAAUUGUUAGUUAACAGAUUGCAAAUGAUCCUUUAUGGAAAUGAAAAGGGCAAAACAAACUUGGCAUCUCAGUCCAAUGAUCAAGAACAGCAAAAACCGAAAGAUGAAAACCAAAAAAGUGGGGAUGGUGAAGGAUUUAUAGUUGUCAGAAAACGGAGAAGAAACCGACAGCAGAUCACAAAUGGGGUAACUGAGAUGUACAAUCAUCAAUCCAUCUGUGCUUCUGUUCGUUAAAAGAGAGAGCAAAGCAAUAAAAUGCAAAGGUGCCGUCCUGUUUCUCCCAAUUUUAUUCGAAAAAUUUGUCAGUGAAUGUUACCGUUGUAGAAAUGGUUAAAGUUUGGAGCAAGUUUUAAUCAAUACUUGAUUGUAUCAUUUUAGACAUCCUCUCUGGAUGUUCUAAUAUAAUAUUUGUACAAAUUGGUUUCUUGUUUUGUUAAGAGAUUUUGUUUUGAUCAAUAAAUGAUGAUAAAUUAAUUGGGCGAUUUUCCUCAUCAAGAGAUCUGUGAUGUUGUUCUAUAAUGGAUCUUAAUGUUUUAGACUGAGAUUUGUAGUUAUGCCUCAAAUUAUUUGGUAUUUGGUUGGUGCGUGUGAACAAUACGUUCGGAAUGGAGUUGAAUUGGGUUAUCUUAUAUCAAAUGUCUGAAAUUUAAUUUUCUUACAUUUGCAGCUGAAGUUGCUGCACUGAUGAUAUUACAACUAACAUAGUAUUUGGCAAAAUUCCUCAUUCAAUUUAAAUUUGCAAUCAACAGAAACUGAAGAACAAGCCGUAAGUCUAAUCCUAAUGGAUGCAUAGCUGUUUGGAGAAAAGCCAACGGAGACAUAACACAGCACGAUAAGUUAUACACGGCAGAACCGUAUGUGCUAGUAAGCACAGUCACCAAUGGAAAACAUAUUUGAAAAGCCAAUAGUAGCAUGUGUCAAUACAUCUAUCAAUGAAAUAGAACCACAGUCUGCGCCAGUACGAGUUUAUCCAAAGUGCUGCAAAGAAGCCCAAAAUCACCGACACAUAGGAUGCUCCAAAACUCCAUCUUAAUGCCACCAUAUCAAUCACAGAAUCGCCUUCAUCUUCUCCUCCUCCUGUAGGUGUCGCUGGUGGUGCCAACGCACUGCUGCAUUUCCUCUUUAUCAUUGAGCCACAAAGAGCCGAAUUACCUUUAUAACUGCUGUCAUCAAACGUGCCAAACUGCUCUUUGUCUGGGAUUGGGCCGGACAAAUUGUUGUAUGACACGUUGAAGUUUGAUAAAAAGUUGAGGUCAGUUAGUUGAAGAGGAAUUCGGCCACUUAAUUUGUUGCGGGAAAGGUCCAGGCUCUCUAUCAUUUUCAGAUUGGAGAAGCUCUCUGGUAUAGCACCUGAUAGUAAAUUAUUGGACAGAUUAAGUGCACGAAUAUGUUGAAGAUGCCCAAUUUCCCAUGGAAUUUCUCCACUGAACUCAUUGCUCGAAAAAUCCAAUCCAGCCAUGUCGACGAGAUUGAGACCGAUGAAAAAUUCAUAUCUAUACUUUGUCACAAAUUCUACACCUACUUGUUGAUCUACUCUACUAUGUAGUUCACCUUGCGGCUGCUGAUCAAGAGUGGAAUUGUAGUAAGUAGAAGCGGAAUCAUGAUUAGACACACCAAAUCCAGAUCCAUAUGAAUAAUCAACAAUCACUUCUCCCCAGAAUGACAGGUUACCCAGGCAUGAAGGUAUCGGCCCAUUAAGUCUGUUAUGUGAAAGAUCCAUGAUACCUAAUUUUCUUAAUUGGCACAACUGAUUAGGAAUACGUCCUUGUAGAUAAUUCCCUCUCAAAAGAAGAACAUGCAAAUUCGAAAGCUCAUUGAUCUGAUGAGGAAUCCUACCAAAAAGUUUAUUGUCCCUCAAAUCUAGAGUCAAUAAUGUAGAGCUUCGAAGCAAUGCAAUUGGAAUUAACCCAUUAAUUGCAUUGUUAUGCAGAUAAAUGUGCCCCACUGAUGAAAGAUUGGAGAGAGAUACCAUGGACCCAGACAAACUAUUUUCGGAUAUGUCUAUAAACUCAAGACUUUCAAGAUUGCCGAGCUGGACCGGAAUACUACCUUGCAAAUAAUUUUCUGACAUUAAAAGAAGCCAAAGGUGUGAGAAGUUGCCAAUCCAGUGGGGAAUAUCGCCGGAUAACUUGUUGUUGGAUACAUCUAAUACCCCCAGCAAAGGGGAGCUCAACAAACCAUCUGUCAUCUUCCCACUGAAAUGAUUGUUGUCCAAACGUAAGGAACGCAAAUGAGUCAAGUUCAUAUAAUUGGGAAAAAGUUGGCCAUAGAAAUUGUUAUUUGAUAGGUCCAACAUAUCUAAGGGGAGGCAACUAGAGAAUAUAGAUCGAGUUAAUUCUCCUGAAAAAUUAUUUCCAGACAAAUCCAAAGUAAUUAGCUCUUUCAUCUCACUGAUUGAAUAAGGAAUAUUACCUUCAAAACUAUUUUUUGACAUAUCCAAAUAUAUCAAUUUCUGAAAGACAAUACCCAAAUUCUCUGGUAGCUUACCAGAGAAAUUGUUAGUGGAAAUAUCUAGAUAACGAAGCUUAUCGUAUUUGGCAUUGGGAAGUCGCGGAAGAAUUCCUGAGAAUGAGUUAUUCCACAAAAUCAAAACUUCUAAUCCUGUGUUGUUUUGCAACAACCAAGUUGGGAAAUUGCCAACCAACUGAUUGUGAGAGAGAUCAAGGAAUUUUAAGUUGGAUUGGUGUAAAAGAAAACUGGGAUUGACAUUUAAGCGGCAGUGAGGUAAUUGGAGAACCUUGAGAGGAUAUGUGGGGAGCCAGUUUUCGGUUUUCACUUGCAACAUAUCGUUUUGUGGCGAGAGUAGCAAGACCUCAAGCUUUGAAUGAUUAGCCAAUGAAUUUAUUGAGAAUGUUCCUUGGAAAUCGAUGAAAGAGAGAUCCAAAUAUUCAAGUGAUGUGAGGUUGGUCAAGGCAGAAGGAAAUUUUCCACUUAACUGAUUGUAAGAAAUAUCAAGAACUUUGAGAUGGGUCAAGUUGUUGAGACACUGAGGAAGGUGAACCACAAAAUUAUUUAACCUUAAAUCCAACUCAAGAAGAUUCUUCAAAUUACAUAUUCCUGAAAGUGAAAAUAAAAAGCUCAGAUGUCAUAAAACGAAAACUAAUUAUAGCGCAUUCAAUCAUAAACCCAAUAUAAGACUUAUAAAACAGUCAUGAAAUCAAAUUGUCUAAGUAUUUUGGUCAACAUAAAUAAUAAUAGAAUGAUAUGAAUUUAUUUCUCAUAUAAUAUGAUGUUGAUUGCAAAAGCGUUUCAAUUAAUCUAACAAUAAAAUAAUAAUAAUAAUAAUAUAAAAGCAGUCAGCAAUUCUUGCUCAUCAUAAUCCAUUCAAAAAGCAUUUCAGCAAUUCUCGUUGUUUAAAAUAAUGAUUUUCUGCGGAAGAGUUUGUUGACUUCGUCUUUUUCGUUGGAUAUUGGUUCUCUAAUCUCUAAAUUUGUUGGAUAAUGUAAAGAGAAACUCAUAAUAUAUUAGUUGCUUUCUUAAACUUUAUUUAUUCUUCUCAUAGCAUUAAAAAAAUAUAUAUAUUUGCCCAAGCGGAAAAAAAAAAAAAAGCUGGUCUUCAUAUUUAAUUUGACCAACAAGUCACUGGGAAGUAGGAAUUGUGUAUCAGUAAUGCAAAUAUUGGGUGCGUUGGCAUUGUUUUUAUAUGCUUUUUUUUUUUAUUUUUUGAAUUUAGAAAACAUUAGAUACGUGUUCGGUAGAUUGUUUCUGAAAAUAUUUUUAAAAAUAUAAAAUUCAUUCUACACAUUUUAACAAAAGAAAUGAGAAACAAUUUUUUCUUAUUUUCCUUAUUUCCCAAUACAAUAUUAAGUUCCAAAAUGAAGAAUUCUCUGUACCUCCUCCUGAAAUAAUAAUAAUAUCAACAUUAUUAUUAUUAUUAUUAUCAUUAGGUCUAAUUAUCCCUAGGUGACAGAUGUUUUAAUAAAUUUCAAAAAAAUGACACAUGUUUUGAAAACACUCGAGUGGGUGACAUUCCAUUAACUUUUGUUGUUAAUUUUAACCAGUCGAGGGUAGAGUUGAAAAAAUAAUUUUUUUUUUCAUAAAGCCAAAGAGAUGAAAAUAUUGAAUUUAUACAGUACUUUAUAAUUCAUAAGAUUUUUGCUUCUUUAUAUUCACAAAUCAGUUUGAUCAACAAGAAUUUUUUAAAAUUUAUUUGAUUUAACAAAAAAAACCUGGUAAUUAGACUUAUGUUUAUUUUUUUAUAUUUUAUAUUUAAAAAAUUAAAAAUGAGUGAGUAUGGGCAGAAACAUCAUUUUGUGGGGUAGAAAAGUCAUUUAAUUUACUAUUCUCAUUAAAAUUAAUGACAAAAGUUAAUAGAAUGUCACUCGCUCAAAUAUUUUUAAAAAAUGUCAUCUUCUUAAAAUUUGUUAAAACAUAUGUCACCUAGAGAUUAUUGUUGUUGUUGUUGUUGUUGUUGUUGUUGUUGUUGUACCCAAAGAAUCAUUUUCCUUCACAAAAAUCUUUUCUUUUUAUAUACAUUAUAAUAUUUAUGUUUUUAUAUAUUAACUAAAUCAAAUAUGUAGGGUUUAUCAUUUUUCUUUGAACAAAAAAAUAGAAAGAUCACCUAAUUUAUUCUUAAAAUUAAAAUAAUCAAUAUACAUUGCUUAAUCUUAAGUUUAUGGAAAUUAUUCCAAUAAUAAUUCUUUGAGAUAUUCUUACCAAACAUAUUUAUGUUUUUCUCAUUUUUCAGAUUAUUUUUUAAAAUGAUACGGAACACAUUUUUAAAUUUUAAAAAUAAAUUUAAAAAUAGCAUUUUCAUUUUUAUUUUGUAAAAACAACAAUUAGAAAACAAUAUUGGGCUAUUAUUUAUCAUGUUUCAACAUAAAAACACAGUGUAAAUUGUUUAAUAUGGGUUUCUAGAGAAUUUUUUAUGUUACUAUUACUCAAAUUCAAUGCUUCCAAGCUUUUGAAUUUAGCUAAUCUUGCAUCAAGAAUUAAUGAACAUAAGAAAAAAAACAUUUCAUUCAGAACUAUAAAUAUUGAAAUAAAGAUAAAUAUCAUUGUUGAUUUUUUUAUAAAAAUGAUUUAGAAUUAAGAGAGAGUGAGAGAAAUGAGCGGGUUAUUUCGGAAAUUGGUGAUAGAGUAUAUCAAGUACUAAACUUUGUAUAGAAAGCAGUGCUUCUAAUUUAAAUUUGAUCUAGUUUAAAGCAAUUAAAAAAUGGAAAUAUAUUAUCAUCUUGAUUAACAUCUAAAACAAUUUUUGUCAUUGGAGGAAGUGAAUUGUUAUAUACCUUGAAUUGUAGUUAUCCCACAAGAGCCAAGAUCCAAUGUUUUCAAGUUUGGCAAAUCUGCGAAUCCUACAUGCGCCGAUAAAAAAUGAAAAUAUUACAUUUAAAGGCAUUGUAUGUGAUCCGCGCGUUUGAUGAACAUUAAUUCUACAUUUAAUUUGCUUCUUAUCUCAGAUUCAGUGGCCUACCUAGCAUUGUCAGAUUUUGAUUAUCGCUUAAAUCCAACACUUGUAGGUUUGUCAAAUUUGCUAAUCCUGUUAAAAAAGGUAAAUUUUGUCAAUAACAGUUAUGUCACUCUCGUCUAAAUUGUUUAAUUAAAAUAAUAUGGUAAAUAUUGAAUGAAAAUUAACUGUGCACAUUGUUAUUUUUUUGUUUAUAUUGAUAUUUUAAUAUAUACCGUCACUUUUAGCAUUACCAAGAUUUGGAGUGUUUGAAUCAUAAUUUGUAAAUUAGUUAGCACUUUGAGUAAACUUGAAAAUGUGAAAAAAGAAAUUAAAAAAUGCAAAUAUAUUAUCAUCUUGAUUAACAUCUAAAACAAUUUUUGUCAUUGGAGGAAGUGAAUUGUUAUAUACCUUGAAUUGUAGUUAUCCCACAAUAACCAAGAUCCAAUGUUUUCAAGUUUGGCAAAUCUACGAAUCCUACAUGCGCGGUAAAUUUUGUCAAUAACAGUUAUGUCACUCUCGUCUAAAUUGUUUAAUUAAAAUAAUAUGGUAAAUAUUGAAUGAAAAUUAACUGUGCACAUUGUUAUUUUUUUGUUUAUAUUGAUAUUUUAAUAUAUACCGUCACUUUUAGCAUUACCAAGAUUUGGAGUGUUUGAAUCAUAAUUUGUAAAUUAGUUAGCACUUUGAGUAAACUUGAAAAUGUGAAAAAAGAAAUUAAAAAAUGCAAAUAUAUUAUCAUCUUGAUUAACAUCUAAAACAAUUUUUAUCAUUGGAGGAAGUGAAUUGUUAUAUACCUUGAAUUGUAGUUAUCCCACAAGAACCAAGAUCCAAUGUUUUCAAGUUUGGCAAAUCUGCGAAUCCUACAUGUGCCGAUAAAAAUGAAAAUAUUACAUUUAAAGGCAUUGUAUGUGAUCCGCGUGUUUGAUGAACAUUAAUUCUACAUUUAAUUUGCUUCUUAUCUCAGAUUCAGUGGCCUACCUAGCAUUGUCAGAUUUUGAUUAUCGCUUAAAUCCAACACUUGUAGGUUUGUCAAAUUUGCUAAUCCUGUUAAAAAAAGGUAAAUUUGUAGUUAUGUCACUCUUGUCUAAAUUGUUUAAUUAAAAUAAUAUGAUAAAUAUUGAAUGAAAAUUAACUGAGCAAAUUGUUUAAUUAAAAAAAUUACCUUCUAAAGAACUGUGUAUAUAAUAAUUAGAACUCAAAUCCAACGCUUCCAAGUUUUUUAAUUUUGCUAAUCUAGCGCCAAGAAAGAAGAAAAAUCUUAGUAAUCAUCUUUGGGAAAAAAAUAAAGAAUUAAGAAAUUAGAUUAAAUAAUUGUAGUAAUAAAGCUUAUGAUUCAGAUCUAAUUAAAUUGAUCAUAUACUCAAAAAUGAUUUUAUUUNNNNNNNNNNNNNNNNNNNNNNNNNNNNNNNNNNNNNNNNNNNNNNNNNNNNNNNNNNNNNNNNNNNNNNNNAUUAAGAAACAAAUUUCAAAGUUAGAUUAAAUAAUUGUAGUAAUAAAGCUUAUGAUUAAGAUCUAAUUAAAUUGAUCAUAUACUCAAAAAUGAUUUUAUUUAUUUAUUUAUUUUUUUAAAUUUUACUAAGACAUUAGAAAGUAAAUUUUGCCGUGUACAUAUUGUAGUCAAGUUUAUCAAGUUUUCCAGUCAAAAAUUGGUUUUAAUUUGACAUUAUACAUAUGUAAAAAUUAAGAGCAUAAUAAUAUCACAAGGAAUUUGGGUAGUGACUUGUUGCCGUGUACCUUGAAUUGUAGUUAUUCCACAACUACCAAGAUCCAAUUUUUUCAGGUUUGUCAAAUUUGCCAAUCCUACACCAACGAAAAGCAAAAUAUUACUUUUAAAAUUAUUGUAGAAGGUUGUGAUUAGUGUGCUAACUUGGUAAUUAUCUCAGUAGCCUACCUAGCCUUGUUAAAGAGCCACUAGUUAUAUUGAAGUUCAAGCUUAGAUCCGACACUUGCAAGUAUCUCAAAUUUACUAAUCUUGCUCAGAAAACAUUAAUUUUGAUCAAGACAAUAUAAAUAUAUAUUUUAAUUAAGAAAUUAAUUAAGUUGCCUGACAUGUAUAUCUGCUGGCCUGAAACGUAUAUGUAUACCUUGCUUGGUUCUGGAACCUUCAAUCUUAUUGUAACUAAGAUUCAGAGUGGUAAGUGAAGUUAGUGUAUUCAAAUAUGGUAAUAUGCUGUCGUUGACGUAAUUAAAACCAAGAUUUAACAUCUUCAGCUGCUUCAAACUCCCAAAGCUAUCGUAAGCUGCAAAUGCAUAUGAAGUGUUAUUAUUAAUUAGUCACUGACAAAAUAUUUAUGGAUGCGAAAUAAAUGUAUACAUAUAUACGGACCUCUAUUCUCAUAGAUGCCUGUAAACCAAUUCUCGGAUAAGUCAAGGCUUUGCAAUUCUUCAAAAGGAUGAAACAAUGACAUAUUCAUAAACGAAGCCGAAGUUCUAUCAUAAUAUUUCAAUCUCCUUGUAUAAUUGAGUGAGAGUUGCAUCACGCGUCUUGUGGUGGCGUUGCACAUAACUCCCUCCCAAGCAUCACAACAAUCAGACGGCAUGCCAUCAUCCUCACCAACCCAUGAAGGAAGAAUUUUGUCAUCAUAGCCAACAUCACUGACUGAUAUGAAGAAGCUCUUGAUUGCCAACAGAGCAGUCCUCUCUGUUUCCAAGCAUGCUUUGUAUCCCUGCAUUUCAUUCAUCAAUACAAUAAUCCAAAUUAGUGACAUUAAUGAGAACUUAAUACAGGAAGUAGUUUCCAUUGCUGAGCAACUUUUCAUUUGGUUAAAAUUAAAUGUGCAAUGAGCAACUUUCCAUUGCAGAGCAAUUUAUACUAAAAGUUUAUCGCAGGUCUUGCAAUUUGAUUGGCUGAAGACUUUUUUAAGACUUUCCAAUACAUCGCCAUCUUUGAAGACUUGUAAGCAUUCCAUGUUUUGCAACAUUCGACCAAUUUUGUCAUCAUAUCCAACAUCACUGAUAAAGUGAUUGAAAUGACAAAACACAUAAAUGUUAUUUGAAGCUCAUGCAUUCGGAUAAGGAAAGUUUCCAUUGCUCCAGUCUACACUCUUCACUACUAUUACAAUCACUUGAAAUGACAAAAAUAGAAAUUUCGUAUGAACUUGGGACCGAUGUACGGGUGCAAUUUAAAUGACCCUAGCUAAUUUUGCAUAUAUUAUUGCAACUACGUGGAAAAUUAAAGUUGACUGACUUUCAAAUUAAGCCAACAAACAAGUGGCUAUCAACUCUUUUCCCUCUAUGAUUGUUUUUUUUUUUUUUUUUUAAAUUGAAUUGUAUGAUUGGGUUUGCAUUGAAUUAUCCAACAAUCUAUUCAAGCAUUGAUAUUUGAUAUUCUCAAAUAUUUAAUGGGUUUUGAAAAUUAUUUACUAGAUUUUUGAUAAAUUGAUUUUUAUUAUUUCAUGAUCAAUAAUUAAUCAAGUAAUUUUCUAUAUAUAUAUAUUUGGUAAUUUACUCAUAAAAAGUGUGGAUCACAUUGAAAUGUUAUUUUAUAUGAUGCAUGACAUACGGAGAGGUGCAGUUUAAAUGCGCAAAUAAUUUAUUAAUUAUAACAUGCAAUCAUUGAGUUAAAGCGCAAGCGUGAGUUUGGAUUUGAAAUAUUCAAAUAAUUUAUUUCAUUAUUGAUUCUUAAAUAACAUGCUUUGGAAUUAAUAGUUCGAUAGGAUGUUUGAUAUAUUAAAAUUUGUGAUAAUCAAUAAUCAACUAAUUUUCAUUCAUAUUUAAAGAUUUUAAUAAAUUACUCAUAAAAUUGUGGCGUAUAUUGAAAUGACAAUCAAUCUUGAUAUUGACUGACAAUCAAUUUUUAUAGUGAUUGGCACUUAAGACAAUCAGUUUUGGUCUCCGUAAUGACUAAUGAAGAAUUGUAAGCCUGAAAUUCCACAUGUUGCAAUGUUGGACCAAUGAGGGAAAUGCUUCAUUAACAUUACAUGGAAAAUAAAUGUUGACUGACUUUCAAAUUAGACCAACAUACAAGUAGUCGUCAAUUCUAUUUUUUCCAACAGUUGAUAAAGAUGGCUAGUUAAGAAAAAAAAAGUUGAUUGAGAUAAUUUAAAGAAUUUAAGCGUAAGUUUGGGUUUGAAAUUAUCAAAUAAUUUAUUCCAGCAUUGAUUCUUAAAUAAUGUACUUUGGAAUUAAUAACUCGAUAGGAUGUUUGACAUAUUGAAAUUUGUGAAAAUCAAUAAUCAAUUAUUUUUCAUACAUGUUUAGACAUUUUAAUAAAUUACUCAUAAAUUUGUGGUGUACACCGAAAUAAUAAGUUAUUAUAAAUUUGUGGUGUACUCUUGAGUCCCUUUGUAUCCUUGCAUUAAUUUGAAUCAAAGCUCGAAUUAAAAUCAAAGACCCAUAUUGAGAAUUUAUAUAAAUAACUUAAGAGUAUGAUUGGGUUUACAUUGACUUAUAUAUAUCAAACAAUAUAUUCAAGGGCUGAUAUUCUCAAAAAAAAGAAAAAAAAAAAGACAAUCAAUCUUUGCGUCAACUGAUAUUAUUGAUUGGUAAUAAAUCUUAGUAGUGAUUGACAAAGCUUGGGAAAAUCACUCUCGGUGAUUAAUAGUCUUCGUCCUCAUCUUUGUUUUGAUCGUUGUGAUAGAGGAUGAGUGGUGCGUAAGAGAGGGUUCAUCGCUUGCGGAAUUUUCGCGGCCAUUCAAGAAUCAGGAUGGUUGUUGUAGAAUUCCACGAGAAUUGGCCGUGCAAUUAGGGAAAGUUCAAUAUUAAUUUAUACUAAAAGUUUAUCAUAGGCCAAUCACGGUGACCACCAAAACCUAUGAAUGAUUAGUCCAUCGAAACCCAAUGUAUGCUCAAUUAAUAUUUCCUAUCAAGAUCAAAAUUUUCACUCUAUUGCUUCACCAAUCAUGCGCAUAAAAGCUCGAUUUAUACAAAACUUACGAAUUUAUGAAAAAAAAAGUCACAAUUAUUAUAAUUGGAAGUUUGAUUGAUUUUUAAAGAUUGAUUCAAUCAAUCUUAAUGUUACUGGACAAUCGAUCUUAAUAUUAAUUCAAAAUCAAUCUUUAUAGCAAUUGACACAGAUAAAGAUAAUUAGUUUUGGUCUCUAUAAUGAUUGACGAAGACUUGUAGGACCUGCACCAAUGAGGAAAAAUGCUUCAUUAAUACUCCAUGGAAAAUAAAUGGUGACUGACUUUCAUAUAAUCGAUUGACGUAUAAUUAUAAUUAUAUAAUCAAACACGCACACUACAAGGCGACCUUCGAUUGACGUAUUCUGUCAACUAACCCAUGGGACAUGGAGUGCUAAAACCAUAAUGUACGCCAGUAUGAAUAAUAUCAUCAAUCAAACCAAAAAAAAAAAAAAUUGAUGAAUAAUAUAGUUCCAAGCAGUGCUAAAACCAUAAUGUACGCCAAUAUGAGUUUAUCCAAAGUCACCGGCUACACCAAUAUCAUAGUGACAUAGGAAGCGAUGAGGAAAUUUACGAAAGAUUUAUUAAAUGAUCAGAGACUUUCUGCAAUUUCAUUGACUUAUUCUACGAUAAUUAUAAUCAAACACGCACACUGCAAGGCGACCUUCGAUUGACGUACUCUGUCAACUAACCCAGGGACAUGGAGGAUGUGUGUUGACGUUAACCAAUAGCCAAGUUUAUAAACACAAUCAAGCAAUCGUAUCAUCAAUCAGAGCCACAUUCGACGCAUGACUAGUAAAUAUCAUAAUUGAGUUUGAGGACCACAGCCGCACGGUGAAAGAAUUUGAAUGGAGGAAAAGCAAAGGAAAAUGAAAAGGAAAAGAGGGGAAUGCUAAAGAAAAAUAAGCUGAUUCAUCAGUAACUCCAUAUGACAUUUUUUUUUUAAAAUAAGCAUACCGUGGGGGGUUAGGCGGGACCCCUACCUGUCAUUUAUAAAAGAUAAUGAAAGAUACAAGGAGGGGGACAAAAACCAAAACCUCCAAUCAAGAGAAAAAAAUACAACAGAAAAAUAAAAGAUUAAGGCAUAGCCUAACAUGAGAAUCAUAAUAAAAUGACUAAUGAAGACGGUGAUAAUAUGUCUUACGAUACUUACGGCCGGUAAGUAAUUUAAAUCCCUUUUUCGAUUGACCAACAAUGCUAAAAUCGGGACUUAAGUCUAUUCUCUCAGAAUUCUCAGGAGCAGAUAAAAAGUGUUCGUUAUUCGCCAGGUGCUCGUCAGAACUAUCAUCAUUAUCAGUAUGAGAAUUGUAAUGCCUAAAAUCUGUGCUGGAUGCUCGAUGAAGAUGUGGAUUAUACUCACCAAUGCUCCGCAGGGGAGACAAGCUUUGAUCACGAGGUUCCUUAGAAUCAUGAGUUGUGUCAUCUUGGGCAAUCGGCUCCUGAACGGAUGUAGAAUUUGUAACGUUAGGCCGGUUCUCCGAAGGUUUAGUGAUCGGGGACCCCGCGUCUACAAUCUGCUUAGUGAUGGAAAGCUCAGGUCGAGGAGUAUCUGAGGGUUGUGGAGUAUCUGACGGUAGAACUUCUGACUUCUUACCAUCUUCUACUCUGGUCUGCCGAUUCCCACUGGGUCGCUGGGGACGAAGCCUCGGAUUGGCCACGUAACACGUCUCAAUGGUAUGGCCAAGGUGCUUGCAGGAAGCACAAUAGAGUGGGAUUUUCUCAAAAAUUACAUUUUGCCAAAAUCCAGAAUCUCCCACCCCGAUUCGUAUCCUUGGCAAAGGAGGUUGGGUAACAACAUACUCCACUAAUACCCUAGCUACAGAAGGGCGAGCUAAAGAGGCAGUAGCUUGGUCAAUUCGCAAUGGCUUGCUAAUAGCUGAUGCAAUAGAAAAUAAUGCUUCCUUACAGUGCAUGAAGUGGACAGGCAAGUAAGGAAAUGAGAUCCAUACUGGAACUAUAGGGGACUCCUCAGAGCACCGAAAAUCGGUGGUCCAUUUAAAAAUUCUCAUGGCACUCCCAUUAAUGUGCCAUGUCUGCCUAACCCAUAGGCGGGAAUAGUCAUCCUCAACGUCCAAUUGAAUUAACACAUGUCGAUUAUCUAGUAAAGACACCUUAAAAGUUCCCUUCAAUCUCAAAGAAGUAAAAAAUUUACGAAUUAAUUCCAUACUAGUCUAUUAUAAGAAAAUUUACCAACCAAUGUCAACUUGAAGGGAAUGGCCAUCGCUUCAAUUUCCGCAACGGAGAAUUGCACGUUAGGCUCUCCCCCGAAAGAAGUAACGGUCUUGAUUGGAACCAUCGAGCUAGUUGGGCCGAUCAUAAUAUCCAUAAACGAACUUUUAUUGGUUCUCUUUUGAUUCGAAUUGGGGACGGAAUUCAAAAUUGAGGCAUAAGAUGGUGCGGAUGUGGGCGGUGUAGCAUUUUGAGUCAACGGGGUAAAUUGGGGAUUAUUAGAAAUGAGUGUUGAGGGCAUUCGGGAGGGCUGGUUGUUGGGGUCAGAAAUGGAUUGGGCUUGGGAUUGAUUAGUGGGAAAUGCUAAUGGGACAGGGGGAAGGCUAGUGGGAAACACACAUGGGGGACACAAAUCAUGCGCGGCCGAAAGUGGUUCAUGUGCAUGUGGAGCAACAAGCUGCUGCACGCGUGAAGACUUUUGGGCUGGGAUGUUUGCUCAUGGCUGCUGCACGCGUGGAGACUUUUGGGCUGGGAUGUUUUCUGAUCUUGACUGGAUUCGGUGGUGUUUGCUUGCAUGGGGAGCUGACAAUCGCCGGUCAGCAGCUGCAGCUGGCUGUGAACACUGUUCCGAGUGCGUGUGUGUGAGACUUUUUGGCUCGUGGGGGUUGUUUGUGUAGGAUAUGGUUGUGGCUGACUGGAUUUAACCACGGUGGUUGCAUCUUGAAGAGGUUCUUGAUUAAAUUGGCCAUGAAGCACGGGCUGGUUUUGAGAAUGCAUAGGGGCUGUAACAGCUGGCUGAUCGUCUCCCGAGUGAUCAUGUAUGGCUUGUGUUGGCUGCGGACUAGAUGCUGGAAGCUGGUUUGUGUUAGCUUGUGAAGGCUUGGUUCGAUUUGAAGGUGAUGAUGGCUCGACGGUUGGAAGGUGGUCAUGGCUAGUUAAGGUUGGAGUUUGCUGUUGAAGGGAUGACGAUGGCGAUGGUGGUUGAUUGGCUGUGUUUACGGAAGUUGGUGGCUGUUGGGGUUGGAUGGCUGGCGAUUGGCUUUUAUAUUUUGAACGAGUUUUCCUUUGAGAUCUCCUAAGAAAAGGAAAUUCGUUUUUGGAAGUGAGGGGGAGAAUCGGUGGAGGCUGGCUGCCAUUACCAUCAGCCGGUAAGUUCAUGAUAGCCGGCUCGUGAAGGGAUGGUUGAUUUGCUGCAUCAUGGCAGCCUUCAUGAGACGUUUCUUCUUGUUCACUUACGACAACAGAGGUGGGUAAGGGCUGCCGAAAUUUCGAGAGGAUAGAGGCAGUGGAUGUCGGUGGUUGAUCAGCAUGAUGGUGGAUUGGAGAUGGAGGGUCUGCAUGGGAGUGGUUUGGAGAGAAAUGAUUUGGUUGUGUGGAUGGAUUGAGGUCAUUUUGCCGCUGGAGUGAUUUGAUUCGCGGUGGUGACAGUUGGACGUCAGGCGGUGGAUCAUUGGUGAAUUUUGGGGGUCGUCUAAAUGAUUUCUUAGGAGGGAUCAAACUCCUAAUAAUUCGUUCUUCGGCGGAGAGGGUGUUGACCGGUGAUGACUGGUUGCCAUCACCGGAGGCCGGAGAGGCCAUUAAGGCCGUUUAAGGCUUAGGGGGGGGGCUUGAUAGAUAGUCUUCAAACCAUUUGUUCCGGUCACUUAUUUUUCUAAACAAACCAAUUCACCCAGUUUCCCCUCCAUGACUACUUUUAGCCUCCGUGUGAUUCAAAAUAAUUAACACAGACGUCCUGCGUGUCACAUGUAACGAGCUAAUUCUGUUAAGGCCUUCACUCCAUAGUCUUAAGAUCUCAGUGAACAAUAAAUUCUUCAGAUUCAAAUGGCAAAUGAAUUGCACAACAAGGCAUAAACCCCGCUUGAAGGCAACCCGCUAUAAUUAAUACAUAAAAAGUUCAAUUGCUCAUAAAAGAAAGAUACAGUAAACUAGUGGUAUUGUAGUAUAAACAAUACUGGUUUUUCUAUCUUGGUGGUUUCUUGAUAGUGUUCAAAUAUCAGUCCUCGAAGAAAGAUAGAGGAAAGCUAAAGAAAAAUAAGCUAAUUCAUUAUUGACAUAAUGUGACAAUUGCACGCAACUCUUGGAUGUUUUUAGCCACCGAAAUUUUUAACAUUAAUGAUGAAUUACAAAUAUGUGAAUGAAAACUUAGAAACAAAUUUUUGCUGUGAAAGAAAGUAAAAGAGAGCAGAGAAACAAAAAACAGAGGAUUUCAUUCGUCAUUCAUAACUGAUUUUCCUAGUGCAAAUGCGCAAGGUUGAACAUUCAAAAUCCAUAAUUCUAAAUCAAAAUCACCAACAGACACCUGUACAUGAAAUAUUCAGGCCUUCACUCUGGCCUUAAGACCUCAUGUACGAGAAGUUCGUCAGAUUCAUAUAGCAAAUGAAUUGCACAAGAAGGCAUAAAAAUUAGUAUAUUUUUCAAGAACCGAGCUUGAAAGCAAUGAAAUAAAAAUUAAUACAUAAAAGUUCAAUUACACAUAAAAGAAGGAUAACGGUAAACCAUGGCCAGGCAAGAUCACGGAUGAAAUAUACAAAUUUCACAAGCCAAUAUAAACAACAAUCAGUGCAUGCAUCAAUGAAAGAAAACCGUGGCCACUGCCAAUACGAGUUCAACCAAAGGAUUCAUCUUAAUUGCAGAUUCAUCUUCGUCUUCUCCUCGAUUGGAUGUUAUUGCUAGAUUUUCCUCUGUUCUGGUGCAACUCUUAUUAAUUGUUGGACCACAACGACCCAGAUUAUAACUCUUUUCAUCAAACCUGCCAAAUUGUUUUUUGUCUGGGAUCAGACCAGACAAGUUCUUGUAUGACUCGUUAAAGUUGGAUAAAUAGUUGAUGAGUGAUCUGAAGAUCACCGAUCAGAAAAUUUUUCAUUUAUGUUUGUGUAAAUUAUUCAUAGUAUGGUCUACUAUGAAAUUACAAAAAUAAGCAUAGUAAAUUUGAAUAAAGGAAAGGAAAAUGAGAAGGAAAACAGAGGAAGGCUAAGGACAAAUAAGCUGAUUCAUCAGUAACUCAAGAUCACAACUUUUGGAUGUUUUUAGCCUCCGAAAUUUCAACAAAUAUUCAAGUGAUGUGAGGUUGGUCAAGGUAGAAGGAAAGUUUCCACUUAAUUGAAACUUUGAGCUUAGAUCCAACUCAAAAGGAUUCUUCAAAUUACAUAGUCCUGAACUUGAAAAUAAAAGAUCAAAAUUUUAUAGAAUGAAAACUAAUUAUAGCGAAUUCGAUCAAAAUCCAGUACAAGACUUAGAGAACAGACAAAAAUCAAAUUGCCUAAUUAUUUUGGUCAGCACAAAUAAUAAUAGAGUAAUGUGAACUUAUUUCUCAUAUAAUAUGAUGUUGAUUGCAAAAACGUUUCAAUAAUCUGGAAAAAGGGAAAAAAAAUAAAAUGCCCUCAGCACUUUUUGCUCAUCAUAGCCCGAAGUCCUUCUUGUUUAACAUUAUGAUUUUCUGAGGAAGAAUUUGUUCACUUGAUGUUGUUCAUUGGACAAUGGUUCUGUAACCUCUAAACCUAUUGGAUAAUGUAAAGAGAAAUUCAUAAUAUUUUAGUUGUCUUCUUAAAUAAUAAAUUGUCUCAAAAUACAAUUAAUUUGUCUUAAAUUUAAUUUAUUCCUCAGCAUUCAAAGAAAAACAAAAACAAAAAAAGAAAAAGAAAAACGACCUGGUCUUUAUAUGUAAUUUUGUCCAAGUACUUUGAUCAACAAAUCAUUAGGAAGGUGGUGUAUCAGUGAUGCAAAUAUUUAAUUAUCAUGUUUCAACAUAACAAUUCUGUGUAAAUUGUUCACUUUAUGUUUCUAGAGAACUGUUUAUAUUAUUAUUACUACUCAAAUUCAAUGCUUCCAAGUAUUUGAAUUUAAUUAGCUAAUCCUGUAUCAAGAAUUAAUUAAUGAACAUAAGAUAAAUGUCAUAUUAGUUAGAUUUAGAUUUUUUUUUUCCAGUUUUGAUGUAUAGAUAAAAAUAAUACUUCAAAAGCAUUGAAAUGUAAGAGCUAUUAAAAAAAUGCUUUUCAUUCAAAGCUAUAAGUAAUGAAAUGAAGAUAGAUAUCAUUGUUGAUUUAAAAAAAAUCAGAAAAAAAAAAAGAAAAGAGUGAAAGAAAAGAGCAGGUUAUGUUAGAAAAUAGUGAUAGAGUAUGUUAAGGACUAAAAUUUAUUAAAGAAAGCAGUGGUUCCAUUUGAAAUUUGAUCAAGUUAGAAUUAGUCAAUUAUGCAUCGAGAAUCAAAAGAAUGAAGAAAGGGAAUUCAAAUUAGACUUACAAAAUUAUAAUAAAGUGAUUAGUUAAGAUCCAAUUAAGCAGAUUUACUAAAAAAAAUAUUGAAAAAUAAAGGGCCAUAACAUUGCCAAAAGGACUAGGAAACUAAGUAGGAAGGGCUGAUUGUUGCGGAAUACCUUGAAGUGUAGGUUAUUCCACAACCACGAAGACCAAUUGCUUUCAAGUUUGUCAAAUAUGCCAAUCCUACAACAAUAUAAAGCAAAAUGUUACUAUAAAAUUAUUGUAGAAGAUUGGUAUUUUCAGUAGCUUACCUAGCCUUCUUAAAGCGCCACUUGUUAGAUUUUCAGGUUAGAUCCAACACUUGCAAGUUUCUCAAAUCUGCUAAUCCUACUCAGUAAACAUUAAUUUUGAUCAAAUCAAUAUCCUUGAUUGAAUAUAAAAUUUAUGAUUAAACCAAUAAAAUUUAUUCUACUUGAUUUUUGUACAAUUUUUUUUUCACUUGAUCAGCUGUUUUAUUCCCUUAAAAUAAAUGAAUUAAAAAAAUGUUAAUUGUUUUACGAGUUAAUAAUUUUAUAUUUAUUUAUUUAUUUAUUUUACCUUCUAUUUAUUAGUCUUUUGAAUAAUUUAUAAGAUUUAACAAUUGUAUUAGAUGUAAUAUUUUUAAAAAAAAAACUAUUAGCAUUUAUUAUUUAAUAAAUCUAUUUAGAUAUUUUUAAAAUUUGUUAUUGAUGAUAGAGUUUGGGUCAAUGGUCAACAAUUAAUAGUUACUAUGAUUUUUUUUUCCCUCCCUUUCUAAUUGAUAGAUUUCAUGUGUUCCGAAAACGAAGUUUAAGGAAAAAGAAAAGGAAAAGGAAAAGGAAAAAAAAAUGGCUGUGAGGCCACUUUCCCUGGGUCUUGGUUGCAAUGCGCGCAUGUACACAGGCUGAAGCCAGCAAGAUGGUAUCAUAAGUUAACAAUGAGAACCUUACUCUGAGAACAAGGUAUAAUUUGCUCACAUCAGUUAAAACAUAAGUUAGGUUGUGAUUUAUUGAUUGCACAUUCACCACAGGCACGUAUUGGGAGGAUAUUUAAGCCGAUCAUCAUCUCAGGUAAUCUUUCUUAGGAAUUGGAGAAAUGAAGCUAAAAGAGCACCAAUAAUUUCAAACAUAUAUACCUUGCUUGAUUCUGGAACCUUCAAUGUUAUUGGAACGAAGAUUCAGAGUGGUAAGUGAAGUUAGUGUAUGUUGAGUACAUAAAAGCACCAGGUCGGCCAUACUACUAUUUCCGCCCCAGCAAGGAUCACCUCAGCCAAAUGGUACGAGCAGAACCGGGGGCAACACGAGCCGAGCAGAGACGAAUACUGACCAGAGGCAUAUACCGAGCCGAUACCUGUCCCCCAAGAGGCGGGAACACGAUCUCACAAGAUCGCGGCAGUUGCGCUUUCCCAGAACCGUUGCAGGAGACGCGAGAUCCCACGUUUGCCCAUAAUGCAGCAGUUAGAGUCCCAUGAGGGGCUGCCACGACCCGAAAAAGGUGGGACGAAGGGCAAAAUGGAAACAUGGGGACAGUGGCUAUAAAAGAAGAAGAAAUCGACAAAGAAGGAGACAGAAAAAUUGAGGGAGGGAAAACGCUGCCAAAUUUCAACCAGGCCAUUUUCUUACAAAUCUCUAACAAACUUCUUGAAUCCAAAUUACAUUGUUUUCCCGUGAACACCUUGUGCUAACUUAAGCAUCGGAGGGUUUACGCCGGCAAAACCACCAGAAUCUGGUCGGUCCAAGGGCGAGCAGAUUUCAGCAUCAACAUUUUGGCGCCGUCUGUGGGGAGCUGGAUAAAAAGCUACCACCGAAUUAGUAGUUACCGGAGAAACAGCGAACGAUUAGACAUGGAUGUGCCAAGGAAGGACGCUUUGAGGGAGGAUAACGAAUCGGGGGAGACAAUCACCCUUCGGGAAAUUGCAAAUGAAGCCCGAGAGAGGGUGAUGUAAGAUCGGUUGGAACGAAUGGAGAAGCAAAUGGAGACUCUCGCUACCAUACUGAAUGAGCUGAGAGAUGAGCGGAGAAGGGAUUUCGAAAUCCCCGUGGGGAGAGAUGAUGUUGGAGCAGAACUCAACCUCCGGAGGUGUAGAAUCGAGGAAAUCCCUCCGCCGGCGGACCAACCUUAUGGGGUGCAUCCCCACAGAAGCACUGGUCGGGUUCCUGGAGAACAAGUAGUUGAAGGGAGGAACCAACCUCGCCCCAGGCUAGUACCGGAAGCUGAUGGCCGAGGGGCCAGUGCUGAUGAAGGAGAGUUAAGACAGCGGUUGCAGAAUGUCGAGCAGGAGCGAGAUCAGAUAGCUGCACGUGAUCCUGACCGUGCUGUAGAAUUGGAGGGAGAGGUGCGCAGAUUAGCCAGGAGUUGGCCGAGCAGUUCCGAGGGGCAGUGGCCCCAGAGGACGACAUGAUGGAACUGAUGGGGAUGAAACAGGAGGAGCAUGAAUCCCUUCGAGGAUUUGUAAAACGAUAUCACCGAGCCGUGCUGGAUCUGGGAGCUUUUAAUCACCCGCAGGCGUUGAGGGGAUUAAAAGAAGGUGUAAGAAUCGGUUGACUGUGGUAUAACUUAAGAAGCCCCCUUGUACAGAAUUACUCGUCGGGGUAUGAGCAGGCGAGGCGAGAUAUAGAAAUCGAAGAGGAGAAAUCGGCAAGAAUAAAAAGUGAACAGCUGGACGAGCUGAGGUGAAAGGAACGGAGAGCCCCGACAGGGAGCGGGUCGGGAAAGCGAACUGGAGAAUCUUCAGGGAUGGGCGGAAUAUCAGCUCGGUCCCGCCCUUACCCCAUAGCUCCGAGAGCACAACAGUUCCAACAUAGCCGGGCUCAACCUCCGCGCCCCCUGAUCCCAGAGCGGCAGCAAGAUUUCCGGCAGAUGGCUGCCCACCCCUAUCACAACACUCCCAGAGCAUUACAUGCAACCAAUUCCAGGGCUAGACGACCAGAUCAGUUAGAGACUGUGCCAGCCCGAGGUGACAUUCACGAUAGCCGAGCAGUUCAGCUGGUAGACCAGAGCUUGGCAUAUAGACAGUACACUCCAUUAAAGAUCUCCCUGGAGGAAUUGUAUGAGAGGAUCGAGGGACGAGGCCUGCUGUAUCCUCCAGCCCCAAUAACAAAACCGACUUACCGACGGGAUAAGAGCUGAUUCUGCAAAUUCCACGACACUCACGGUCACACUAUAAGCCAGUGUCGUGACCUGAAGAUUCAGGUGGAGGAUUUAGUGAGGAACCGAUACUUGGACGAGUAUGUAGAUGGAAUGUCCCCUGUCGUGGAAUCACAGUACACACGGGAUGAAGGAGUUGAGAGGGAUCUGGAACGUGAACAGCCGACCAUCCGUGUGAUAGCAGGAGGUCCAACAUUGGCCGGGGAUUCGAACAGAGCACGGAAGAACUAUGGGAGAUACGCCAUGACUGGCAAAGAGGUGCUUCUGAAUUUGCCAGCAGCCAAGAAGGCAAGAGUACGACAAGUUCCCAUUAUGUGGACGGAGGAUGACGAAGAGGGCAUUUUGUACCCUCAUGAGGAUGCACUGGUGAUUAAAGCAUUAGUGGCUAGCACAGAGUUGAGGCGAAUACUGGUGGACACGGGCAGCUCAGUCGAUAUUCUGUUUAAAUCGGCCCUAGAUGAUAUGGGGAUUUCAGACUUAAAGCUGGAGCGGACGAAUACAUCCUUGAAGGGAUUUGGAGGGGGACGAUUAACUCCCAUGGGGGUCAUUGAACUCCCGAUUACUGUGGGGACAAAGCCGUUUGAAAGAACGAUGAUGCUGGACUUUGUCGUAGUAGAGGAAAGAAGUCCUUACCAGAUGAUACUGGGGAGACCGUUCAUGAGGAUAAGCCAAUGCGUAAUGUCCACGCAUUAUCUGGCGCUGAAGUAUAGAAUAAAUGGAGUUGUGGGUGUAGUAAAAGGCGACCAGAGAAUGGCGAGGAGCUGCUAUGCUACAGCGGCCAAGGAAACGCUGCAGGUUACCUCUCUAGAUAGCCGAGGGGAUUCAAAAAAUAGUCGCCAGGAACCUGUUGAGAAGCUGGAGGAGGUUAUUGUAAGCAGGAGUGACCCUAGCAGGGUCACACGUUAUUACAACAAGAACGUACGUGUGAGGCAGUUCCGAGCAGGAGAUUGGGUGCUCAGGAAGGUGAACCAAAAUACCAAGGAUCCUAACCAUGGAGCUCUUAGUCCGAAAUGGGAAGGCCCGUACAGGGUGAUACGAGCAACUGGUCCGGGAGCUUAUAAGUUAGCGUACCGAGAUGGACGAGACGUGAAGAGGUCAUGGAACGCCGAGCAUUUGAAGAAGUAUUUCCAGUAAGCAAAAUACUCUACUAAAUCUUCAAUUUGAUAAGUUAUAUUGGUCAAAUGCAUGGUGGCUUGGUGCACAUGCAUAUGUUUUGUACUUUUGUAACGCAUUCAAAUUUCAAUAAAGAGGAAUUCAGCAUGAAAUCCCCCGGCUAAUAAGCCCAUCAAAAAUCUGCUAAGGCAAGUAAAUGCCUACUUCUGCUCGGUCAACGAAAGACCAGCAACUAAAUUUACGAAGAUUUUACCAAGGCAAGUAAGUGCCUACUUCUGCUCGGUCCACGGAGGACCAGCAGCUAAAUUGACGAAGAUUUUACCAAGGCAAGUAAGUGCCUACUUCUGCUAGGUCCACGGAGGACCAGCAGCUAAAUUUACGAAGAUUUUACCAAGGCAAGUAAGUGCCUACUUCUGCUAGGUCUGCCUACUUCUGCUCGGUCAACGAAAGACCAGCAACUAAAUUUACGAAGAUUUUACCAAGGCAAGUAAGUGCCUGCAUCUGCUAGGUCAACGAAGACCAGCAGCUAAUUUAUCAAAUGCUCCUAAGGCGAGAAAGUGCCUGCUUCUGCUCGGUCAACGAAGACCAGCAGCUAAUUUCUCGAAAGUUUCGCUAAGGCAAGUAAGUGCCUGCAUCUGCUCGGUCAACAAAGACCAGCAGCUAAUCCUACGAAAAUCCUACUAAGGCAAGUAAGUGCCUAGUCCGGCUCGGUCAAGGAAGACCAGCAACCAGUUUUGUCUGCUCGGUCAACGCAAGACCAGCAGCUAACUCUACAAGAAAUCUACUAAAGCAAAUGCCUACUUCGGCUCGGUCAACGAAGGACCAGCAGUUAAUCCUACGAAAGGCAAAACUAAGAUACAAUCUAUGAGCAAAAACCGGACAAGAAAGCAAAUAAAGAGCAUUUAAAAAUCUUUUUAUAAAUGUUCAAUUGUUUACAAAACAAAUGCAAAUCUAGAGUCUAUACAAAAAUAGGCUCAAAGCUUAGCAGAGUCAACGGCUCCAGCGGCUGAAGGAUCAGCGAGCCCGGGAAGUGAGGGAUCAGCAACAUCAGGAGGUGGGAGAUCAGCAAUACCGGGAGGAGGAGGCAUGGACCCUUGACCCAUUUCGAAAGUGCGUCCCCCAGCAUCCCCCUCUUCCACCCCACCCGAAGGAACCUCCACCCGAUCCUGCUCACCCUGCUCCUUAUCUCCCUGGCCGGCCCCAGCCAUAUAUCUCUCCACCCCAGCCUCCAGCUUGCUCAUGUCGAGCUCGGGGUAUUCUUCCGUGAGCACAGACAUGAUGCACUUAUAGCUGAAAGCAACCCCGGAGUCAUACUUGGCAUCCAGCCGAUCAUCCACAUCAGCGGAUUUGCCUUUCUCUUCAGCCAGUUGGUCACUCAGGGAUUUGAUCUCUCCCUCAAGGGCGGUCCUCAGAGUAUCUCUCUCACUUUGAGUAGCCUGAAGAUCGGACUUCAGAUCACCCAACUCGCCCUCAAGCUUGGAGGAAGUGGACUCAGCAACAGCAACUUUCUCCUCAAGCUCCGUAAGCUGCUUGUUCAGCUCGGCCAUUUUUUCCUUGGACCGAUCAGCAGAUUCGGCUUUCUUUUUCAACUCCUGGUUAUCAGCUUGAAGCUUCUUCUCAUGACGCGCGGACCUGGUCUUGUAGCACGAGACCAUUGUGGCCAGCCUGAAGGAGACUCUCUGAACAGAAGCAGCCAACUCGGAGAGGCUCAUGCUCUCGAUCUCCUUCACCAUCUUGGGCCCAACCGACUUUUUAUAAUCCUUCUGAUAUGGGCUCAGGUAGUCACCUUGAUCCCGAGAUGGAAGAGGAGAAGAUCGGUCCCCAGACUGCAAGCUGACCUCAGGACUCUUGUCGGAGGUUUUCUCCCCAACACUCUUACGAGGUGGAGGAGGGGGCAGAGCAGGAACAGGCGCCUUGGAAGGACCAACGCUAGGUUUCUUCGGAGGAGGAAGAGGGUUGCUGGAGCUACUCGGGGCCCGACCACGCUUCCUGCUCAUCGCACUGAGGAUCUUGUUAUCCAUUCCAGCGGCUAUGUCCACUAGCCCCGAGCCGACCAGGUUUGUUGGAGACAGGAGGUCUUGGCAGGUUUGCUGGACACCACUUUCCCCCAGCAAAGAAGAAUUUGUUCUUCCAAUUUUUGCACGAGGAGGGGAAACCGGUGAUUGGCUUUCUCUUCGCAGAACUGGACAUGAAGUAGUACCAGCCCGCCUCCCUUGGGCUGCUCCGCAGCUGAUACAGAUGUUUCACUUCAACAAGGGAAGGCUCCUCCGACCCGCACCUCUCCCACAACACAAACAUUACCAAGAGAACCCUCCACCCGUUCGGGUGUAGCUGACCUGGGGCCAGGUGCAUACCUCCUAAUAUCUUGGCAAAAUAACGUUGCAGGGGCAGCCGAGCUCCUAGUUUAGGCUAUGUAAUCAAUAGGGUAGGAAUCAGCCUCCACCCUAUGGCCAAGAUUCCUUUUCUUAGCAGGUCCACUCGGUCCAGAACUGCUCCCCUCACCAUCACCAACUCCUUCAGGGAUCCCAACCCCACCAAAGCUGUGGUUCUCACCAGAGCCCGAAGCAGUUCCACCUCUAUUCCCUACAAGCUCUGGUUCGGGGGAGGGAGAGACAACCAAGGGGCGUGGGUACUCAAGGGUACCCCUACCAUGGGAAGGACCUACACUACUGGAGGGACCUAAGAAAUCAGUGGGUAUUGACACAUUGAGGCCUGAAUCCCCUGAUUCUUCAUCACCCUCAUCAACAAUUAACUUUCUCUUUCGGUUUGACAUAUCGGAAUCUCAAAAAGAAAACAAAGAAAACUCGAAUAUACGGAUACACAAGGGGGCAACACGGAACCCAAUCAACAACAACCAGAGAAGAGAUUAAAAGCAGUACCUGAAAUGAACUGGCCUUGAUAGCGCUGCCGUGACCGAGAAAAAACCAGCAAGUAGAAGCCUCGGACGCAGGAAGUAUGAGUAAAGUGCAGAAAAUGGGGUAGGUUAACGACGGAGAGACGAGUAACAAAACGAUGACGAUGUGAGUCUAGGGAUUUGAAACGAAAAGGGGGAAAUGAAAGCAUUUAAGUGAUGGAGACGCACCGUACAUCGAGGACAGAUAGCCCGUCGUUUUAAAUUUCAAAUAUGAAGAGUCUGGAGAUGCCACAUCACUAACCGUUACAAGGGGCCAGGAUAGAUGUAAGCCCAGAUAUGCAAUGGACAUGCUCAUUUAGGCCCAUACUCAGGUCGAAAUCUCCCCAGAAGAAAAAUGGUACCUCAGAUCCGUCUCAGUAAACAGAAGACCAGAUGAGAGGCUCCCCGGGUUGGUGAGUUUUGACAAUCAGUUUCUACUCUUCACUCGUUUCACUCGCCAGACCAGAAACUGGGGGACUGGUGUUGAGUACAUAAAAGCACCAGGUCGGCCAUACUACUAUUUCCGCCCCAGCAAGGAUCACCUCAGCCAAAUGGUACGAGCAGAACCGGGGGCAACACGAGCCGAGCAGAGACGAAUACUGACCAGAGGCAUAUACCGAGCCGAUACCUGUCCCCCAAGAGGCGGGAACACGAUCUCACAAGAUCGCGGCAGUUGCGCUUUCCCAGAACCGUUGCAGGAGACGCGAGAUCCCACGUUUGCCCAUAAUGCAGCAGUUAGAGUCCCAUGAGGGGCUGCCACGACCCGAAAAAGGUGGGACGAAGGGCAAAACGGAAACAUGGGGACAGUGGCUAUAAAAGAAGAAGAAAUCGACAAAGAAGGGGACAGAAAAAUUGAGGGAGGGAAAACGCUGCCAAAUUUCAACCAGGCCAUUUUCUUACAAAUCUCUAACAAACUUCUUGAAUCCAAAUUACAUUGUUUUCCCGUGAACACCUUGUGCUAACUUAAGCAUCGGAGGGUUUACGCCGGCAAAACCACCGGCGUCUCUGAUCCGUUUUUGCUGAACGCAGGUCUGGUGAGAGAGGGAAGGGCGAUUCCAACCCCAGUGGUUCGAGUGACAGUUGAUAACACAAACGUUGGUGAUAGAAUCUGGUCGGUCCAAGGGCGAGCAGAUUUCAGCAUCAACAGUGUAUUCAAAUAUGGUAAUAUGCUGUCGUUGAGGAAAUUACCACCAAGAUUUAAGAUCUUCAGAUGUCUCAAACUCCCAAAGCUGUCGUAAGCUUCAAAUGCAUAUGAAUUACUAUCAUUAAUUAGUCACUGACAAAAUAAUUAUGAAUGAGUAAUAUAUACAUAUGCUUGUACCUUUAUUCUCAUAGAAGUCAAGGCACUGCAAUUCUUCGAAAGGGUGAAACAAUGACAUAUUCAGAAGAGAAACUUCAUAAGAAUAAAAGAGUUAUAAUCAGAGUAGUUGAUUUUUUUUUUCUGAUUGAGUGAGAGUUGCGUCACCCGUCGGGUGGUGGCGUUGCACUUAACUCUCUCCCAAUCGUUACAACAAUCAGACGACAUUCCAUCAUCAUCAAAUCAUGAAGAAAGAACUUCGUCAUCAUAUCCAACAUCACUGGCUGAUGCGAAGAAGCUCUUGAUUUCCAACAGAGCAAUCCUCUCUGUUUCCAAGCAUGCUUUGUAUCCAUGUAACUGAAUCAAAGCUAUGCCAAUCCACAAUGACAACUUCAUCAAAAGCAUUUUCAUUAUUAAUAGUAACUGCAAGAGAAACACUCACAAGAUUUACCUGUCAAUUGUUGCUCUCUUGAAUUUUUUCUGGUUCUCUAGCAAAUAUAUGACUUAUAUAUACAAUGGAAAUUUUGUGCAGAAUGAAAAUUUUGCGCAUUUUCACGUGCCCUGUCAAUGAGAAAACAUGCAUUGAUUGAAAAAAGUAAGUGAGAGAAUAUUACCUGUUGAUACAUGUUAUCUACUUGUGAAAUAAUUGAAGAUGCAAAAUGGUUGAUUUCACGGGCCUGGCCUUUGGCAAAGUGAAAUGUUAGCCACACACUUUUACCAGUCCAGUGUCAACAUUUGUAGCAUAAGGAAAUUGCGGCAUCUCAGCUGGAUUUUGAGGGUCGCUAUUUCGUAUAUCAGUCCCAUUAUUUGUUAGUGGGGACUCACACUCUGUCCUAUAAUGGGCUCACAAAUAUUUAACAUAAUUUUGAUAAUUACUUAAACCGCGUGUCCUUGAUAAUUAAAGAAAAAGAGAAGUGAAUGCAGUAAAAGAUACUGAUGGCCGUAAUUAUGCAAAUAAAUACAAGACUUUACAGUAGAUUAGACCACCAAUUGUGCUUUUUCGUCCAAUAAUAAUGCAUCUGCUUUAGCACGAUACGAGUGAACUUAGGCUUAUCUUUCUUUCGCAAUGUAAAUUCUUGCCAAAAAAUACAUGUUAUCUACUGGUGAAUUAGUUUGAUAAAAUAAAGGCUUAAAGUUUAGUUGAGUAAAAUGUUGGCGUAAAGAAAUUAGCUACUGGAAAAUCACCAAAUGCUUGUUAAGGUAAUAUACAAUUGCAAUUGAACAUCAAGUGAUGGAAACAUCAAAAACCCCAUAAAAAAAUUAAACAAAACCAGUUGCAAUGCAAAUAAACAAGUUUUCAGUUAAGAUGGCAGAACUAAUUCCUUCACAAUCAAGUGUGGUUUCUCAAUUUGUUCUAUUUGCCCAAAAAGACAUGGUCAAGUAUCUGAAAGCAUUUUUAUUUAGUUGACUAUUCGAGUUUGAAUUUGGAAUAAGAGGUUAAAAAAUAAGUUUUGUCUUUUCUCACCCCUUUUACCUUUAGAAAAAAAAUUUAAUUUUUGGUCAAGCUGACUUAAGUGCAUCAUGUGCAAAUCACGUGACAUCCUGAGCUACCAUGUAAUUUGGCUUUAUAAGUGUUUUCUGUUUCUGAAAACAAAAAAUAAUAAAAUGGAAAUGCCUUUAGCUUUUGGCUAGACAUUUUCAGAAACGUUUUUCGUGAACAGAAAAAGUUUUUGUAAAGAGGCAUUGAGCGGUCAGGCGCUUGUCGUGGCCUGCGGCCUGCAGUCCUCAACAAUCCUCAUCUGGCCUCUUUAUAAUCCACUUUUAAUAAAAUAUAGAUAAAAAUAGAAAUAUUACUGAUUUCUAGCACAUCAUUCAAAUUAGUUGCUAUUGUAUAUCUAGCUAGUUUUGAACAAAGUAAGUGAGAAUAUUACAUACAUCUGCUUUAGCAAGAUACGAGUGAAUUAAAACAUUUGACCAGAUGAAAGAGAGAAAAGAAUGUUGAAAUAUUGACUUGAAUAUUGUGGUAAAAUGAGUUUGACUUUAGUACCGACCAAAGAAAUAACUGAAGAUGCAAAUUAAUUGGUUAGUUUGAGGUGCAUGGCUAUUGGCAAAGUGAAAUGUUAGCUUUACACUUCACUUGUGAAUGUACAACAACAUUUGCUGCAUAAGGAAAUUGCGGCGUCUCAGCCGGAUUAUGAGAGUUGUUUUCAAAUCCCAUUUCUCUUCUUCGUAUUUGUUCAUUGCCACAACAUUUGAUGCAAAAUUUGAUGACUACUCAAACGCGUUUCCGCAAUAACUAACGAAAGAAAAAGCGAACGAAUAAGCAAGAGAUACUGAUGACAGUAAUCAUGUAAAUGAAUACAAGGCUUUACAAUAUGCUUUCUUUCACAUGUAAUCUGCUGGUGAAAUAAUUUUUAUAAAACAGAGGCUUAAAGUUAAAGCUGAUUAAAAUAUUGGCGUCGAGAACGCUACAUGGAAAAUUCAACCGUGAGCUGCAGUCUGCAGUCCCCAACAAUCCGGGAAAAGGUUGAGGAGGCGCGCCCCUGCACAUUAAUUUGGCAGGUCUGAUGGGAUUUAUAAAUUAAAAUAAUGUAAUUUUAUAUAUUUUUUAAAUGAAAAAUUCAUUGAUGCCGCUGUGCGAUCCAUUGGAUCCUCGCGUGUUGGCUCCACAAGAGUUUCUCCCUAACAAUCUCCAUCAAAGCUCUUUAUAAUCCAUUUUUGAUAAAAGGAUACAUAUAUUUAUUCAAAUAUUAGUAAAAAUAGAUACAAUGCUGAUUUUUAAAUUAUACUUAAAUUAUACUUAAUGAACAUUUAGACCGACCUGUAAAUCUAUGAAUUCAAACUUCCACAACACCAUCAAUUAUUUUUAGCCUGCAUGUUACAUAUAUUUAUUCAAUUAUUUUUAGCCUGCAUGUUUGAUUGUGCUUCUGUUCUAUAGCUUCGUUAUGUUCAUUGAUAUUUUGUUGUUGUGCAGUAGUACCCAGUGUUCUUGAUAUCGCAAUCAUCACCCCAUAUGAAUCACAAGUUGUUCUCAAGGUAUACAUUUAUACUUAUCAUUAAUACUUUUUUGUUUUGCCCUCACCAGCUAUGAUUAGCAUAUUAUUUUUUAAAACUUUAUAAAUAUAAAUGAAUUAUUAAUUAAUCAUCUUUUUUUUUUAAUUGAAAUUUGCUCAAAGGGCAUCUCCACUGACAAGAUACUUGAUGUGAAAAAAUUGUUGGCUUCCAAUGUAGAAACUUGCCACCUCACAAAUUAUUCUCUCUCUCACGAGGUAUAUAUAUUUUAUUAUCUCUCCCCUUUUUUUUUUAAAUUAUAUAGAUUAUGAAAUUUCAUUUUAAAUUAAUGAAAAUAAGUAAAAUGGCUAACUUAGGUUUUGUUGAAGGCUGUAAAUGGUAGAUCGGAUGUCGAUAAGGGAUGGAGCCGCUGCCGACGAGGGCUGAUGUUGCCACCGAUGAUGGGAGUUUCUUCGGUUUGGGAGAGAUGGGUGAAAGAGAGUGUUGGGGGAGAAAUGAGAGAGAGGGGUAUUUUGGUCUCAAAGGUUCUUUUAUGGCUAUUGUUGAUAGAAAUUUGUUUGGGGGGUUAAGAUGGAAAAAAUCAAAACUUUUAUGGUUAUUGGUGUAAAUUUCCCUAAUUUUCAACCAACCGUAAAUUUUAAUCUAUUAAAAAAAUUAGUUGGCAGACAUGUAAACAGAGCAAGAAGGUUUACAGAAGUGUAUUAUUUUAGAAUUAGUAACUUUUUCAUGAAUAAUUAAUAUGAUUAGAGUUUAACAAAAUUAUAUGUAAAGGCUUGUUUAAAGAGUGAAAAUUUUAUUUUUUUCUCAUUUUUUAGUGCUUAUAAUUAAAAUUUAAUCUAGAAGUAUUUUAAUUAUAAAAAAAUUAUUUUCAAAAAUAAGUUUGACGAAUAGUUUAGUGCUAAAAUAAUAAAAGAAAAUAAUAGUUUAGUGCUAUAAUUAUUUUCUACUUAUAAUUAAGUUAAUAUUUAAUAGAAAGAACUAAAAUAAUAAAAGAAAAAAGAAUUUGCCCGGCAAUUCCUUGUUAUUUACAUUUUUGGCACUGUCCUUCGCAGAGGAAUACACCGAGGAAUCUCAGGCCGUGGCACACGUGCGGCAGCUUCUCGACAUCGUCGUGUGCACCACAUGGUUCUCCAAGUCCAGAAACUCCCGAUUGCCGCCACCGUCAGAGUCAUGUGCCAAAAAGAACGGCAGUAGGCCCCACCCGCCUUCACCAAACUCUGCCGCUCUGUCUGAUGGAGCAGCAACAGCAGCAGCAGAUAACCGAAGCGGGCCCCGCGCCACGUCAUCGCCAGUUUCAUCGGCGGUUUCUCCGAGUCUGGACAUGGCGACCAUUCACCCGACGCCGAAACUCUCCGAGUUUUAUGACUUCUUCUCUUUCUCUCACCUCACUCCCCCCAUCUUAAGUAAGCCUAAUUUUCAUUUAUUUAUUUGUCUUCGUUUCUUACAUGGUUGAUCAAAAAAAAAAAAAAAAAAAGAAAGAGGAAAAUGAUAUAAAUAUAUGUGAUUUAUUUGAAUAUGAAAUUUGUUUAUUGAUUUUAAUUUUUAAUAAUUUUGAUUUUGAAGAUUUGAGAAAAUGUGAACGCAAAGAAGGAGAGAAGCGCGACGGUGAUUAUUUUGAAAUUCAGGUACCAUUUAAUAUAAAGUUCUGAUUAUUGUUGUUUGUUGUUUGGGUCGAUCAAAAAAAAAAAAAAAAAAGAGGAAAUGAUAUAAAUAUAUGUGAUUUAUUUGAAUAUGAAAUUUGUUUAUUGAUUUUAAUUUUUAAUAAUUUUGAUUUUGAAGAUUUGAGAAAAUGUGAACGCAAAGGAGAGAAGCGCGACGGUGAUUAUUUUGAAAUUCAGGUACCAUUUAAUAUAAAGUUCUGAUUAUUGUUGUUUGUUGUUUAUGGACUAAUUAAUUGUAGAGUUAUUCAACUUGUUAUUUUUGCUGAUGAAUUGGCCAAUGAGUGUUAAAGAUUUAAUAAUCAUUGUCCGCCAAUUAAUAAGAAUGCAUGAAUUAUUUUCAUGUCUUCGUAAGUAAUGUGAGUAUUUGAAAGCGUGGGAAACUGUAUUUUGUGCUCACAGAUAAAAAUCUGCAAUGGAAAGCUUAUACAAGUAGUUGCAUCAGUAACAGGGUUCUAUACUUUGGAGCCAAUUGCGCCCGGUACACCUCCAUACUUCAAAAAUUAUCUCAAUACCCUAAAAUCAGUUUUUGCCGAAAUUUUCAUUGAUACCCUUUAAAAACGGAUAGGAAAUUACUAAGCUAUCCUCAUUUUAAAACAUUUCAACUCAACGGACGGCACUUCUCCCUUCUCUACUGAAGCAAACAAACACUCAUCUGCUGCAAUUCCCUCCAUUAUCAAACUCAAACAAACAAACACUGCAAUUCCCUCACCGGCAUCACCUCUGCAAUUCCCUCACCGGCAUCACCUCUACAGAAACAAAUAUUCAUUCUCCAUACAUGGUAAAUCGAACUUCAACACGAGUAAACUAAGCUUGAGAAGGGGAAGCUGCCACAACUGAGAAAGAGAAGCCUAGUUCGUCGCUACAUAAUCGCCGGCGAGAGCGGAUCCUUUACUGUAAAAUAGUCAUAAUUUAACUAGUUGAGGUAAGUAAUUCUCUAUAAAUAGUUUUCUUGUUGAUAUUCAGGGGAAAAAACAACAAAAAGUUAGGGUUUAUAUAGAAAAAAUAGAUUAAUUAGUUGCGGGUCUCUCAUUACAUGUUCAAAAACAAAUUUUUAGUUGUUUUACUACAUGCAAAUUGUGAAAAAUUGAUGGAUUGUGCCGAUUAUAAUUUUGUCAUGUAACACACAAUUUGGUCGUGUAAGGUUAUGUAGGAUUCAAGGUUGUGUAUUACACGACCUUCAUGUAUUGCACUUACACGACCUUCAUGUAUUACACGACCUCAAAAUUACACGACUUUUUUCACUGUUGUUAAUUCAUUAUAAUAACUUAGUUGUUUAAAGACUUAAUUUUUGCUAAGAAUUUAUAUUUGUUGCUAUGCAGAAAAUGUCAACGAAAAGUAUUCAGGAAAAAAUGAAAUGUGGCAAACCGAAAGCUGAAAAUUACUAAUUUGUCAUCGUUAGAACCAAUAAGAAUAAUGUGAAGGUUCAUUUUGUUAUUAUUUUUAACUAAGUAUGUUAUUAUUUUUAACUACGUACAAAUUGUGUAAAGUUAUUAAUAUUUGCUGCUGUGCAGAUUCUGACAACAUUUGAUGAUAACCCGAGUAUUGCCACACUUGCGACUGUGUUUUCAACUAGCCUUUGAUUUAAGAGUUGUUUCUAAUUGAUUUCAUGGAUUUAUUAUAUGCAGGCAUUCCUCAUGUAUGCAUGUAUGCUUCGGCAGAGGAAGAAAGCAGUUUGAAGAUAAAAAAAAAAAAAAAACUUUUUAAAUGGUUGUAAUAUGUUUAAUUACGAUAUCCAUUAGUGUAUCAUAUCCAAAUAUUGACAUUGUAAACUGAUAACUUUGUUUAUUUAUAAUAAUUAAUCUCAUCAUUUCUCAAAUUGUCGAAUAUGCAAUUUUUUUUUUUUUUGCUGUAAUUUAUGAACACACGAUUUGAUCUACGUUCAAAAGUAAUGCAAAGCGGGUUUCUAAACUUCAUUCCACUAGCUACUUCCUCUAAGAAAAAUUCCACAUCAUCAUUGGUUUGAAUUGUAACUGGUGGCAUAGGAUCAGAUGUCUUAAGUUUGAACUUCAUUGUGAUUUCGAAUUCCGAAGUAUCUAUAUCAAUAACUUCAACUAUCUUCUCCAUCAAUUCGGCAUAUAUUGUCGAUCGUGGUAUCAUUAUCCCUUUAGCCUUGAAACCUUUGAACUUAUACUCGUCAUUUUGCUCAAUUCAUUCACCAUUGAAGAGAAUAGCUUCAUGUAUUGCACUUACACGACUUCAUGUAUUUCACGACGUUCAUGUAUUACACGACCUUCAUAUACUACACGACCUCAUGUAUUACACGACCUCAAAAUUACACGACUUUUUUUACUGUUGUUAAUUCAUUAUAAUAACUUAGUUGUUUAAAGACUUAAUUUUUGCUAAGAAUUUAUAUUUGUUGCUAUGCAGAAAAUGUCAACGAAAAGUAUUCAGGAAAAAAUGAAACGAGGCAAACCGAAAGUGAAAAUUACUAAUUUGUCAUCAUUGGAACCAAUAAGAAUAAUAAAAAAUAACCUUAGUGACGUACAAUUGGGGAUUUUUCGCAAAUCAUGUUUUGGGCACUUUUUGGACUUGAAUGAGUUUCAGUUUUGUGCCCAGUUGUUGCACAAGUUGGUAUUAAGGCAUAUGCAUUCAUCCGAUAAGGCAAUGUAUUUUAAGAUAGGGAAAAAAGUUUGUCGAUUUUCAAUGUUUGAAUUUGCAUUAGUUACUGGACUGAAUUGUGAAGAAAUUUAUAAACCUAACUUGGACAUUGUUGAUGACGGUGGUCGUGUAUGUGAUGUUUUGUUGGACGGUUGCACAAAGUUCACUAACACAACGCUAGGUCAGAUAUUUGAAGCAACUAAGUCCAAGGAUGAUAUGAAAAUGGUUAAAUUUGCCAUGUUGUACUUUUUGGAGGUUGUAUUACUUGGAAAAGAAUAUAGAUCAUCUAUAAUUAGGGAUCACAUUCUCCACAUUGACAACUUUGAAGAUUUCAAUAAAUAUCCUUGGGGCCGUGUCUGUUUUGAGAACACAUUAGAAAGUAUGAAGAAUGUGAUUGCAAUUAGACAGAAUAGAGAAAGGGCAAAUCCAGACUAUGUCCCUGAAAAGGAGGCAUACAGUCUUCAUGGCUGUCCAUUUGCAGUUCAGGUAACAAAUUGUCAAUAUUGGUUUCGUAGAGAUUAUUAAGAUUAGGAAUAUUAAUUAUUUCUUUUACUUGCACAGGUAUGGGCACUUGAAAUUUUCAGUGAAGUGUGUGAAACUUUUUCCUCGAAAUGUAAGCAUGUCAAAUAUCCAAGAAUUCUAAAUUGGACAAUCACUAAACAUGUUAGCUCUAAUUCGCUUGACUAUUCCAUAUUUGAUAAGAAAAAGGUAAUAACAAACAAUCUAGAUCGUUAGUGUCUUUCUUUUUUUCUUUUUAAUUUAUCUUUGACAUUUAUUAAUUGGCCUAAUUAUUACAGCUUAAGGUACUAGAGAAGUUGGAUGUCGCUGAUGAAAUAGAGGCAUCACAGCCUAAUCUACAAUGGUUUUGGCAAACAAAUUGGCUGCAACAACUUGAAAAUGAUUUUCUUGUUGACUCAAAGAGUAAAAAAUCAGCCACUCCAGUCUCAGAACAGAAAAGUAGCAGUGUUGUGCAGAAAAAUUCUGUGGCCAUGGAAGUUAAAGAGACUAAUAAACGUGCGAAGUGUCAAGUUAUGUCCAUGAAAUGCAAAACGAAUUAUGAACAUGCAAAUUCUGUUGAGGACAAAACUGUAAGUUUUUUUAAUCUUUUAAUAACAAUUUCAUUUUUCAAUUUUUUUUGUUUGCCUAAUAGGCUCUGUCUUGUUCUGCUUGUAAGGGUAAACGUCCUGGUUACAUUGAUAAUUUGAUUUCUUUUAUCGAGGACAAGUUUAAUUGUUUGGAUAAGCGUCUCAAAAAGAUCGAAGAGAAGGUGCAGAAAAUUGACUCAUUGGAGGAGAAUACAGGUGAUGUGAGGGAGAUGAGAGAACAAGUCAAUAAAAUUGUAGACUUAGUGGAGUUCCUAAAUUCAGCGGACUACAAUGUGAAGGUUCAUUUUAUUAUUAUUUUUAACUAAGUAUGUUAUUAUUUUUAUCUAAGUACAAAUUGUGUAAAGUUAUUAAUAUUGCUGCUGUGCAGAUUCCGACAACAUUUGAUGAUAACCCGAGUAUUGCCACACCUGCGACUGUGUUUCCAAGCUUCACCACAAAUGCAGGCAUAGUCAAAGAGGAUCCAAUAAUUAUUCCGUCUACACAGCAAGAGGUGAAAAAAUAUGAAAGAAAAAGGCGAUCUCGAAAGGAUGCAGCUGUUUUACGCACGCCAUCUACUAACCCAUUUCGAAAAUCGCGACAUGUCAACGUCGAUGAAGCAAAACAGCAAGUUCAGUUUGAGCAUUGGCUGAAGGAGGAUAAUAUGGAACCGUAAUUCCUUAUUUCUCUUUGUAAACUUACUUUUAUUUGAAACAAUAUUUCUUGGUUGACUAUAACAAGUAAUAAGUUUUACUCAUAUUUUCUUGGCAGAAGAUUUGGUUGGUCCCUGAAAGAUGAGUUUCAGCAUUUGAGAAAGAUUUCAAUUCUACGUGGGCUUUGCCAUAUAAGGUACUGUCUUUUCGGUUCCUUUGGCAGCCGAUUAUUUUCAAAGCUUGAAUUUUGCUUGUAAACUUCACCCAGGUUGGGUUGGUGUUGGUUCCCAGAGAUUAUGAUAUGGAAUGCCCAAACCCAUUCACGAGAGAUGAUAUUGUCAGCAUGGUUCCUGUGUGCAAGGUAAGACUAUUUUCUCUCUUAAUUGUGUUUUGAUUUAGUUUUUACAUUCUCAAUGAGUCACUCAUUUGUAAAUUGAAUGUAAUUGUGCUAUUUUUAUGGCAUUCUACAGCAUGUAGGUUGCACUUCAGCCGAUGGACGGACCUUAUUAGAGUCAUCCAAAAUUGCCCUUGAUAAAGGAAAACUAGAAGAUGCUGUAAAUUAUGGGACAAAGGUAAUAACCCACUCGAUCUAUACGUAAGAAUUACAUUAUUCUUUUCAUAAUAAGGCAUCUCUUGAUCUCAUAUGAUGUAUUACUUGCAUUGUAAGGCACUGGCAAGGAUGAUAGCUGUUUGUGGUCCCUACCGUCGGACUACUGCAAGUGCUUACAGUCUUCUAGCUGUAGUUCUCUACCAUACUGGAGACUUUAAUCAGGUAUGACAAUCUUCAAUUGUAUUUCAGUGUUAACUUGGUGAUUCUAAGUCUAGUAUAAUUAUAACGUCCUUCUGUACGGGGGUUCUCAUUCAUCGGGACAUUUGAUUUGAAUUUUUGUAUGUUAUGGUUAGUUUUUAUGGUCUUGUAUAAAGAUAUGCAUUAGGAAUUAUAAUUUUCUGGACUUAGGAAUUACAUGUACAGGCAUUAGCAUAAUUUUGAUAUCAGAUUAUAUAUUUUAACUAAAUCAAACACGUUCAUGAUUCUUAUGUUCCAGCAUUUCGUCUAAUGGCAUCUGCGUCUGAGUGUUAGAGUAGUGUUCGUAUGUACUCAAGAUAUCUUCUUCUUCAUUUUAGGCAACUAUAUAUCAUCAGAAGGCAUUGGAUAUUAAUGAGAGGGAACUUGGUCUUGACCACCCAGAUACAAUGAAAAGCUACGGGGAUCUUUCAAUUUUCUAUUAUCGCCUUCAACACAUUGAAUUGGCUCUUAAGUGAGUAGCACUACUUGAUUUACCGGAGCAACUUUGUUUUCAUUCUUUAACUGAUUAAGGUUUAUUUAUUCAUAAAUUAAAUUGGAAGUUUCGAAAAAUGUGACCUUUGCAUUGAAUCUGCUUCGAACGAAUGCAGUUUUUAUCUACCUACUUUAGCUUUUAUUUGUCUUUUAUUGGCUCUAGCUCCUGAUCAUACCGUACCAUUGGCAGAUAUGUAAAUCGUGCCUUAUUCCUUUUGCAUUUUACUUGUGGACUUUCACAUCCAAACACUGCUGCAACAUACAUAAAUGUGGCUAUGAUGGAAGAGGGCAUGGGAAAUGAUCAUCUUUCUCUUAGAUAUUUGCAUGAGGCCCUUAAAUGCAACCAAAGACUAUUAGGAGGUGACCAUAUACAGGUUUUUCUCUCUCUAUUUACGCAUGUAUACACACUCUUUAGAAUUAUAAAUCUUUCUGUAAACUCAGAAUUUUGUUUGAUUUCUUCACGUGACAGACAGCUGCAAGUUAUCAUGCCAUAGCCAUAGCUCUUUCUUUGAUGGAGGCAUAUUCACUAAGUGUGCAACAUGAGCAAACUACACUUAAGAUUCUCCAAGCAAAGCUUGGACUAGAAGAUCUGCGUACUCAGGUGACUACAUGUAGUCAUAUUUUAAUUGGUUCUGUUGUGCAAUUUGGCUAGUUGGCUUCUCUCUUGUCAAUCUUUUACAGGUGAUAUUAUGAUAUAAAACAUAUUGUAUCGGCGGCCUAUUUUGGUGUUAAGUAUGGAUAUGACCCAUUCAUUAAUCGUAUCGAAAUAUCAAAAUACGGAUAUGACCCGUUUAUUAAUCGUGUUGACUUGUUUAAUAUUAAAUACAAACAAAUUAAAAAUUAAUUUAAAAAUAACAAAUGUGUCAAAAAAAUAAGUUAAAAUGACAUAAGUAUGACAUGAAUAAGUUUAUAACAUAAUAUGAGUAUGACAUGAGUCAUUAAUUUAGUGAUUAGUAUAUAUUUUAGUUUUUUUUUCCAAUAAUAUUAACACAUAAUAAUUGAUAUUUAUGUUAUAAACGUAUAAUCAUGUUGAGAUGGUCCAAAACAGAUAUGACCUGGUUAUUUAUCGUGUCGUGUCAACUCAUUUAUUAAUCGUGUCAAUAUUUGUUAACACAAAUAUGGGUCAUAUGUCGUAUUAUGUUGUGUAAUCGUGUCGUAAUCCAUUUUGCUACCUCUAAUCUUAACUGUCAUGAGAGAAUUUCUCAAGUUCCAUAUUAUUGAUGGGAAGAGAUUUUUGUUAUUUUGUUGUAUUUUGUUUUUCGUUUUACAGGAUGCUGCUGCAUGGCUGGAGUAUUUUGAAUCAAAAGCUCUAGAGCAGCAAGAAGCGGUACGGAAUGGAACCCCAAAGCCAGAUGUGUCCAUUGCGAGUAAAGGUCACCUUAGGUAUUAACAGGGUAUUCCCACAUUACUUGUUUCUAAAUUGUUGAUUAUUUCUUGUGGCACCAAGACCUAUAAUGAUCGCUUUUCGCAGUGUAUCAGAUCUCCUGGAUUACAUAGGUCCUGGUCAAGAUUCUAAAAGAAGCGAAGCACAUAGGAAACAACGACGUGCAAAGGUAGUACAUACUUAGUGCAUGUUUAGUAUGACUUAUCUAAUGGUCUUAAAUUUUUAUUUAAUCCUAUAAGCUCUUAUCAAAAUUUUUUGUGUUGUUUAAUUGUUUUUUUAGUAGAGCUCUUGAAAAUUAAAUAAACUAUUUUGCCUCUACUACAAAAAGCUCAAAUUUUGUGCUUUUGAGAAUAGAGGUUAAUUUUUUUUUAAAUGUUAAAUUAUCUAAAAUAUUCUCUAUUUAUAUGACAAUCUUAUUUUAUUCUUUUCAAAACAUAACUUUAAAAAAUUUGCUUAUUAAAGUAAUUUUAUAAUUUUUAAUAAAAGCUCUUAUUGACAACCAAACAACACAAAUUUUUGAGUAAAAACUUUACUUAUAAAAUCUUUACUAGCAGAACUCUACUCAAAUAAGAUCUAUUUGAAAAGCUAUGUGAAAUGAAGCAUUAAGCAUGCUGCUGUUCUCUGUUCCUUUUUUCUUGUGAUGUCCAUCUGAAUGGAUUCUUAAACUAAUUGUAGUUAGGAUUUGGUAUUUUAGAGUACACUCUGCUGGCAUAUAGUUUUGGAUUUGCUGAUUACACGAGUAAACUUGUUGUCCAUGCAAAAUGCAACUAACUAUUGCUGGAUAAUAGUUCUACUUUUCUGAGUGAACUCUGAAGGCACCAAAUAUAAACAUCCAUUUCUACCAUACCCCAACAAAAAGAAAUCUAACAUGCUUAUAUAGAUCACAGACAUGAUUGAAACUUUAGAAGGUUCUGAUCUAUUGAUGGCCAUAGAUUGGGCCAGCUGAUAGUUAGUAGGCAAUGAUGGAGGGUUGCUUGGUCAAGCUGCUAGUUCUUUAGAAAUUCAGAGAUGAUGAGCAGAACGAGUGAUAGUUUUUGUUUUACCCCGUAACCUUGAACAGAGUGAGAAGAAACCAUUAAUUUGAAGUGCAAUGGAUGGAUAUGACGGAUCUAUCAUUUUGGCUAGGAGAUGGAGUUCUUCCAUUCUACUGUUAUUUAAUGGUUGUUAUUAUUGAUUCUAGAAAAACAUUUUUCGAUUUGGCAGUUUGAGUUUUUCCCUUUUUUUUUUUUCCUCAUUUUGUAGGCCUUAGAGAACCAAAUAAUACUACAUAUUAGAAAGACAGGAUUAUUAUGUGCUAAUUUGAAGUAUUACCUGGUUGACAAUUUAAGACAAUAGUAAAGUAUUUCGCUGUGAUUAUUUUUUUUGAGAAUUCCAUGAUUCAAAAGGCUGAAGAAUUUCAUUAGUUUAACAUAAUAUAUAUUAGCAUAAUUUCUCACUGAGUGUUUUUUUCAACAUUUCAGGCAUGUACAUAUCAAAUUCCCAUUUAUGUUCCACUGAAUUCUGCCUCAUGUUAUGUCUGGAUUUGUUGUAAUAAAUUUUGCUAUUGUAAAAUUACAAGAUGAUUGUAACUUAAAAUGAAAUAUUUCUAUUUGCUCAAUUUUUGACAUUUUAUAUGCAUACAAGUUAAAAAGGUUUUGUUUUCUUUUUUUGGUUUAUUUAUUUUUUUCAGGUAAUGCAGAUUAGGGAAAAGAUUCCCCCAACAAAAAGAAAUCUAACAUGCUUAUAUAGAUCACAGACAUGAUUGAAACUUUAGAAGGUUCUGAUCUAUUGAUGGCCAUAGAUUGGGCCAGCUGAUAGUUAGUAGGCAAUGAUGGAGGGUUGCUUGGUCAAGCUGCUAGUUCUUUAGAAAUUCAGAGAUGAUGAGCAGAACGAGUGAUAGUUUUUGUUUUACCCCGUAACCUUGAACAGAGUGAGAAGAAACCAUUAAUUUGAAGUGCAAUGGAUGGAUAUGACGGAUCUAUCAUUUUGGCUAGGAGAUGGAGUUCUUCCAUUCUACUGUUAUUUAAUGGUUGUUAUUAUUGAUUCUAGAAAAACAUUUUUCGAUUUGGCAGUUUGAGUUUUUCCCUUUUUUUUUUUUCCUCAUUUUGUAGGCCUUAGAGAACCAAAUAAUACUACAUAUUAGAAAGACAGGAUUAUUAUGUGCUAAUUUGAAGUAUUACCUGGUUGACAAUUUAAGACAAUAGUAAAGUAUUUCGCUGUGAUUAUUUUUUUUGAGAAUUCCAUGAUUCAAAAGGCUGAAGAAUUUCAUUAGUUUAACAUAAUAUAUAUUAGCAUAAUUUCUCACUGAGUGUUUUUUUCAACAUUUCAGGCAUGUACAUAUCAAAUUCCCAUUUAUGUUCCACUGAAUUCUGCCUCAUGUUAUGUCUGGAUUUGUUGUAAUAAAUUUUGCUAUUGUAAAAUUACAAGAUGAUUGUAACUUAAAAUGAAAUAUUUCUAUUUGCUCAAUUUUUGACAUUUUAUAUGCAUACAAGUUAAAAAGGUUUUGUUUUCUUUUUUUGGUUUAUUUAUUUUUUUCAGGUAAUGCAGAUUAGGGAAAAGAUUCAUGGAGCACAUCAUGAUAUGAUGGUGGAAGAUGCACUGCCCAAUGAUGGAUUGAAAAAAAGUAUGACUAUAGUGGAAAGCAAGACCGAGGAGGUAAUAGAAGACCGUGUUCAACCUGAAGAGCCAGAAGAGAAUGAUGAUAUUACUAGAUAUGGACCGGCAAUUUCAGGUGAGUUUGUGGAAGAAACAAAUUCAGAUGAGGGGUGGCAAGAAGCCAAUCCAAAAGGUAGGUCAGGAAAUGCUGCUGUUCGGAAGCUCAGCCGGAGGCAACCUGUUCUUACAAAGCUAAAUGUCAAUGGUUGUGAACAUUCAAAUCUUAGAGAAAAAGGCAAUAGACGGGAAAUUGUAUCUCCAGUACGGGAAAAAGCUUCAAGGACCACCACCACUGAGUUAACAGGCAUAAAGGAUUCAAUUAAACAGGUGAGUUUGUGGAAGAAACAAAUUCAGAUGAGGGGUGGCAAGAAGCCAAUCCAAAAGGUAGGUCAGGAAAUGCUGCUGUUCGGAAGCUCAGCCGGAGGCGGCCUGUUCUUACAAAGCUAAAUGUCAAUGGUUGUGAACAUUCAAAUCUUAGAGAAAAAGGCAAUAGACGGGAAAUUGUAUCUCCAGCACGGGAAAAAGCUUCAAGGACCACCACCACUGAGUUAACAGGCAUGAAGGAUUCAAUUAAAUUGCAGGCAAAAGCUUCUGUCUCCAAAGUUUAUGCAAGUCCACCAAACCUUACUGCCAUGGCUUCCAAGUCGCUGUCUUACAAAGAAGUAGCUGUGGCACCUCCAGGUACGGUUCUAAAGCCAUUACCAGAGAAACCGGAUGAAGAAAUUGAAGAAAAAACUGAAACACAGAUGUGCAGUAAUGCUCCUGAGACAUCAAAGGCGGAGUUGAAUAACCAUUUCUCUCCCGUUGAAGAUGCGCCAGUUGAUGGUCAGUCUCAAGAAACUCAUGGAAGUGUAACUCAAUCUGAAACUACUGCUGCAGAUACCGAGGAAGUUCCUUCUUCUUCUAAUGAGGAAAAGCCCAUGGAAACAAAUGGGAGUAAGCUUUCUGCCACAGCUGAACCAUUCAACCCAGGAGCUGUCUCCAUGACUCAUCUGCUAAACUCUGUAGCAGCCACGAGUAUUUAUGAUGCGAGAACUAGUCAAGGUAUGCUUGCAGAACCUGCUGUACCUUCGGCUGCUGCUAGAGUUCCUUGUGGGCCAAGGUCGCCUCUCUAUUAUAGAAAUAAUUAUUCUUACAUGAUGAAACAUGGAUUUCCAAAAUACCACUCUUCCAUUAUGGAAAGAAACCUGUCGGGGCCUUCAAGAAUAAUGAACCCGCAUGCACCCGAGUUUGUGCCAAUGAGAGGUUGGCAAAUAAAUCCUGGAUAUGCAGAUUCAAAUGUUUCAAAUGAGUCGAACUCUUCAAAUGACACAAGUGAGGCAGACGAUGAGAAACUUGACAAAAUGUCCAGUAUUCAAGGCGAGGAUAAUACCUCAAGAAAGAGCAGUACAGAGGCGGAGAAGUCAGAGCUGGCAAGACAGAUACUACUUAGCUUCAUUGUAAAGUCAGUCCAGCAUAAUAUGGAUGCUCCAAGUCAUUCUUCAGGCUACGAAAAGAAGAUUGG